Long non-coding RNA from Pollicipes pollicipes, 917 nucleotides. RefSeq lists it as uncharacterized. The transcript has 2 exons. The record is from RefSeq and is a predicted model, not a curated record. NCBI's taxonomy places the organism in Eukaryota, Metazoa, Arthropoda, Thecostraca, Pollicipedomorpha, Pollicipedidae.
CAGGGCGACAGCGGUGGGCCGAUGAUGAUCCGUUCUCCCGACGAAAUAUACACGCUGGCCGGCAUCGUCAGCUUCGGAAAUGGUUGCGCGCUGCCAGAGUUCCCAGGGGUGUACGCCCGCGUCUCAGAGUUUCUGCCCUGGAUCCAGGAGAACAGCCAGCUGUGAGAGCUGUCCUCUAGACUGGACAGGCAGGUGAUGGUUGACGGCCACCGCCGGCCGCCUCCUGUUCUCACCCUGGCCAGAGGGUCAGGCUGGCGCCACCGCGGACCCAGCGGAGACACGUGACGUCUUCUGGCCGUCGAACUGGCAUCGAGACAGACAGCUGCUGAUGCCAGCGAAGUGGUGCCCGGCCAACCAUUUGGUGGAGGCAACAACUGAAAGUCCUCUGAAAAUUAUAAGGAGCCUGCGUGAGGUGGCAAAAGCUUCUGACGCAAUAUAACACAUCGUGCUUGUUCCCCACCGUCUCAAAACUAAUUAUUCUCCUUUCAUCGGGAUUUCGCCUUUUCUACCAGCUUUUGCUUCGACACUGAUCCCUCACGGACAACGCUCAGACCAUCUUGUCGCUUCAUACAUUCUUAGCCAAACAGUGAUGCAUUGGUCGCAAGCUCCGAUGGUUGAUGGGCCAGUUGGUUUCGUUGCACGCGCAGCUGUCUUAUUCAGGCCCGGCGCGUGCGCUGAAGUUUCUAUUGUUUGUCACGGAUUCUCUGUCACGUGAUGCAUUAUUUAUACAACCUGCCGUAGUUGUGUCAUUGUUUAACUUGUUGACAAUCAUAAUGAUUAAUAACUUCAUAUUCUAUGCAAGAAACUAUCGGUACGGUACAUUCUAGUUACUGUGACAUGUGUGGCAUAUGCAGAGCCGUGCAGAAUAUUUUGGGGAAGUGUAAACGGCUUACAUUGAAAUAAAUCAUAAAACAGCC